AUGCCAUGGUUGGAUUUGAAUGGGGGCAGCCGUUUGAAAUCUAAUUCAGAAGAUACACAACCUAAGAUCGAAAUAUUCCUACCUGAACCAAAGGGUUGUACGCCUACCAUUAUUAUCUUCUCCUAUGCUAUUUAUGUUCUUCAUAUCCCCAAUAAUUUAUUCAGUCUUACUUUUGACAUAAAACACAAGUUGACUUUGAACCCCUUCUCCACUAAGACUGCGUUUUUGUUGUUGAACCGAGAUUUGCUAAGCUUGGCAGAGAGGAUAGCUGUUUUUUUUUUGCAGAGAACUAGGCUCUAA
Molecule: ribosomal RNA, 300 nt
Filed under: Triticum aestivum (bread wheat)
Lineage: Eukaryota; Viridiplantae; Streptophyta; Magnoliopsida; Poales; Poaceae
Description: partial small subunit ribosomal RNA
Source: RNAcentral